CGGCAAUGAUUUAACAUUUAUCCGCGCUUCUGAGAUAAAACUAUGAAGUAAAGGAUACAAAAUGGUUGAAUUUCUUAAUAUGAGCCG
Erigeron canadensis is the source of this 87-nucleotide small nucleolar RNA. Lineage: Eukaryota; Viridiplantae; Streptophyta; Magnoliopsida; Asterales; Asteraceae. The record is from RefSeq and is a predicted model, not a curated record.